Molecule: transfer RNA, 76 nt
Filed under: Olsenella sp.
Lineage: Bacteria; Bacillati; Actinomycetota; Coriobacteriia; Coriobacteriales; Atopobiaceae
Also listed under: 6 other names
Description: tRNA-Ala(ggc)
Rfam family: tRNA
About the family: Transfer RNA (tRNA) molecules are approximately 80 nucleotides in length. Their secondary structure includes four short double-helical elements and three loops (D, anti-codon, and T loops).
Source: RNAcentral
GGGGAAUUAGCUCAGCUGGGAGAGCGCAUGACUGGCAGUCAUGAGGUCAGGGGUUCGAACCCCCUAUUCUCCACCA